Molecule: ribosomal RNA, 416 nt
Filed under: Staphylococcus epidermidis
Lineage: Bacteria; Bacillati; Bacillota; Bacilli; Caryophanales; Staphylococcaceae
Description: bacterial SSU rRNA
Rfam family: Bacterial small subunit ribosomal RNA
Source: RNAcentral
GCCUGACGGAGCACGCCGCGUGAGUGAUGAAGGUCUUCGGAUCGUAAAACUCUGUUAUUAGGGAAGAACAAACGUGUAAGUAACUGUGCACGUCUUGACGGUACCUAAUCAGAAAGCCACGGCUAACUACGUGCCAGCAGCCGCGGUAAUACGUAGGUGGCAAGCGUUAUCCGGAAUUAUUGGGCGUAAAGCGCGCGUAGGCGGUUUUUUAAGUCUGAUGUGAAAGCCCACGGCUCAACCGUGGAGGGUCAUUGGAAACUGGAAAACUUGAGUGCAGAAGAGGAAAGUGGAAUUCCAUGUGUAGCGGUGAAAUGCGCAGAGAUAUGGAGGAACACCAGUGGCGAAGGCGACUUUCUGGUCUGUAACUGACGCUGAUGUGCGAAAGCGUGGGGAUCAAACAGGAUUACAUACCCUGG